This 3221-nucleotide unclassified non-coding RNA is filed under the name Hevea brasiliensis (rubber tree). Lineage: Eukaryota; Viridiplantae; Streptophyta; Magnoliopsida; Malpighiales; Euphorbiaceae. The record is from RNAcentral.
AGUGCACAUGUGCCCACAUCUGUAUAAUAAAGAAUCAAUGUGGCUGUCACAACAAACGCAACAUGUCCCUUUCCUUACAUGACCCCACUUAGAUCCAUCCUCAGACGUCUCAGCAACCAAACCUUUUUCACCAGCUGAUCGAUUCAGAGCUGCAGACACUUCCUGUCUAACAGAACGCUGCAACUCAAGUUGCAUAUCCAUGCAGGCCUCCAACAUCCUCUGCAUGUGGCUCAUUCCUUGCUGAAGUCUUGCCAUGUCAGCUCUCAAGUCAUUAAUCAUCUCCCACUCCUGCACCCCACAACAUAAUCCUCGUUUAAAUUAUCACAUCACAUAUUACUAAAAGUAGACUGUCAUUGGCAGAAUGCCAUUAUCGGCAAACUCUCUAUAGUGCAUAUUGGAUAUGAAUAGGCCUAGUUUAACAUUACAAACAAGUGUAGAGAGUGUAAGAGUUGAUAGUUAUGAAGUCUUAGAGCACCUUAAAAUGAUUUCAUCAUUUGAAAAGUAAAUGGUGCAACAUUAAGAACAGAACGUCCAACAUAUCUAACUCAUUCCAAUCUUCUAAACAUUUUCAUAACUCCAGGAAAGAUGGAAGGAAUCGCAAUCAUCAGUGUGUGUGUGCGCGCGCAUGUGUGUGUGUAUAGAAAGAUUAAUUCAUAAAUCAUACACCUCAAUUUCAGUUUUCUUCCAUGAACCAUCUAUUUUCAUGUUUUUGUACUUGAAACAAUGGUUCAAAAGAAAUAAACCUAAACAGAUUUUUCGGAAAAAAACAUGUCCUAGUAACCAUGGCACAAUUAAACAUAAUGCCUCACCAGAAAUUCCAUAAAGAACCAAUGAGAGAAAAAAUAAAAAUUGAUCACUUGGUUGAUAAAACCCACUAAAUUGUUCCAAGCUUUAUUCUGAAAAGAUGACUCACAAGUUCUGAGCGAUGCAUGCUAUGGCGAGACCAGCUAGCGUGAUGCAAAUCCUGGUGCCACAGAGGCUGAGGUGGGGGCACAGGUGGAGUUGGCAAAACCAAUGAAGGUCUGUUCAUAACAUCACGUUGAUCCUCAUUUUGUUCAUCUCUCUGCUGGUCCUCAUCUCGCUCUGGUGAAGUGGGAGUUGGUGUUGGUAAGUUUCUGUGCAGAUCCCAAUCAACAGGAGCACGGCCUUGCCUGUCCACAUAUGACUGUAUUAAUUGGUCCAGACUUUCACGGAAGCCACUAUGAAGAAGAUUAGAUACACUUCUCCUGCUCAAAAGUUCCCUAAGUUCCAUACUAUACACAUUAUCAUCGUCCGGUGGAUGAAAUCUAUUAAAUCUUCUCAUUGGAACAGCACGGCGCAUUCUUGGAGGAUCAGAAGGUCCCUGUGUCCAAUUUUCAAUAGCUUCCCGAGAGCUAUUCUCAUGCCAAACUCUCUGAGCUUCUUCUGGACGACUUUGUUCACUCUGGACAUUUCCAGUUCUUUCCUGGGGCCAGUCAUUAACUGAAUUCUCUUGCCAAUUCCCAUCCAUAGGUUGUUCUGCAUCACCAUUUCUCCAUUCAUUAAACUGACUAUAGUCUGACUGUCGCCAGUUUCGUCCCUCAUCAUCUGUAAUUUGUCCCUGCCAACCCUCUCCUUGGUUAGCUGUUUCUUGCCAAUUCAUGUUAUUGGCAGCAGCAUUGCUUUGUAAGUUUUCUGUUUGUUCAGACAGCCGAUGGGUGUCAUUUUCUUGACUUCUAGACUGCAAUUGUUCACUGUCUUCAAGUUGGAUAUUCUGAGAAGUGUUUGUCUGACUCCAAUCAUUUCUAGAAUCAUUGACAUUACUAUCAAGUGUGCUAUCAGAAUGGCCACUUACUUGGCCACGAACAAUAUUUUCCAACCUGGAACGGAACCCUUCCCUCAAGCCAGAAACAGUAUGACGUUGUCUUAAUUGAACUAGUUCGCUUGCAGCCAUUGAAGGUGGUCUCUCUUCUUCAACAGGUCUUUCAUUUCGCAAGAAUCUACCUCUCAGUAAUGACUGUAUGCGGUUACGAUGAGCAAAAUCAGAGACAGCUCGAUGCUCCAACAAUCCUUGAAGUUCCCUCUGUCUUUCCCGCUCAAUCCUCAUGAGUAGGUCAAGAAGAGCUUGUCUUCCUCGAAGCCUCAGCAUGUCUCGACGAAUAUGUUCUGGUUGCCCUUCAUCAUUGUCAGCAGCUGACCCAUCACGAACUCUGUCAACUUGUGCAUCAAGUCUGGCAGCCUGCUCUUCCCUCCGUCCCCCACGACCUCCUCGCUGCUGACUUGCCAUCUGCACCCACUCCCUAACAAUUCUAACUCUUUCACGUUCUGUCUCACCGAGCCAUUCCCCUCGAGGACUGCUAUUCCUGUGGGACACAUUAGAUGUAUGAUCACUAAUGCCAGUCUCCAUCCAUCCUCGAACAAUCUGCCUAACCCUCUCCCUCUCAACUUCGCCAAGAUCGGGAGAUUGCUCUCUGCUAGACCCAUUAUUGUCCCCACGCUCAUUCUGUGAGCCCAGUCGCUCAUGUGACCAAGGACCAAAUUCAUUCUCACUCUCACUUGCAUCCACCAAACUUCCCUGAUUCUCACUACCCCGACUCUCUGACAUGUUUGUACUUGACAUAUUUGUAUUAGACUCCACACUUCUUUGCUGUCUCAAUCUCUCCCUCACUCUCUCCCGUGCCCUAUUCAAUAAAUGCUCAUCCUCUAACUCCCGCCACAUUUGAAGAAUUGCAGAUGCCUGAGUGCUUGGCCGUUCAACCGCCCCCUGCCUCCUUGACGUGGGCGACUGAGACUCGCUCAAAAAUGAAGAAUCAAGCAUGGAAACCGUAUGCAAACCUGCAAGUGCCAUCAAUUCUGACUCACGAUUCCUCCUCUCAAUAGUGGUUAUCAUCUCCUGUGCCUGACGAGCAGCCCAACGGCUUAAUAUGCGGGAGUGGCGCCUCCUCGCAGCCGAUGACUCGGCCAAGUCAUCACCCUCUAGAUCAGACCUACGUCUCCUGCGGACAAGCUGAUCCCCCUCGUCAUCCUCUUCCUCCGCGUUACGAGUGGAGCUACAUGAGGCGAAUGACAUACAAUCAUCCAAGUGGCCACGCAUCAAUUCCUCAAAUCCCAGCUCGAAUUCAGCUCGGGCAUCAUCGGUUGAUUCAGGUUUUUGUUGUAAAGGUUGAAAAUCUGUCAUCCUCACAAUCCCUACCCCCACCUCACACCACCACUCUCAAAACGCCAUCUAUAAUAAUAAUAAUACUAAUAAUAAUAAUAAUAAU